Molecule: ribosomal RNA, 484 nt
Filed under: uncultured bacterium
Lineage: Bacteria
Description: partial 16S ribosomal RNA
Rfam family: Bacterial small subunit ribosomal RNA
Source: RNAcentral
AUUGAACGCUGGCGGCAGGCCUAACACAUGCAAGUCGAGCGGAUGAAGGGAGCUUGCUCCUGGAUGCAGCGGCGGACGGGUGAGUAAUGCCUAGGAAUCUGCCUGGUAGUGGGGGAUAACGUCCGGAAACGGGCGCUAAUACCGCAUACGUCCUGAGGGAGAAAGUGGGGGAUCUUCGGACCUCACGCUAUCAGCUGAGCCUAGGUCGGAUUAGCUAGUUGGUGGGGUAAAGGCCUACCAAGGCGACGAUCCGUAACUGGUCUGAGAGGAUGAUCAGUCACACUGGAACUGAGACACGGUCCAGACUCCUACGGGAGGCAGCAGUAGGGAAUAUUCGACAAUGGGCGAAAGCCUGAUGCAGCCAUGCCGCGUGUGUGAAGAAGGUCUUCGGAUUGUAAAGCACUUUAAGUUGGGAGGAAGGGCAGUAAGUGAAUACCUUGCUGUUUUGACGUUACCAACAGAGUAAGCACCGGCUAACUUCGUG